AUUGAACGCUGGCGGCAGGCCUAACACAUGCAAGUCGAGCGGAUGAAGGGAGCUUGCCUCUGGAUUCAGCGGCGGACGGGUGAGUAAUGCCUAGGAAUCUGCCUGGUCGUGGGGGAUAACGUCCGGAAACGGGCGCUAAUACCGCAUACGACGUGAGGGAGAAAGUGGGGGAUCUUCGGACCUCACGCUAUCAGAUGAGCCUAGGUCGGAUUAGCUAGUUGGUGGGGUAAAGGCCUACCAAGGCGACGAUCCGUAACUGGUCUGCGAGGAUGAUCAGUCACCUGGGAACUUGGACACGGACCCUGGUCCUGCGGGAGGGACCAGUGUGGAAUAUUGGGCAAUGGUCGAGAAUCUUAUCUAGCCAGGCCGCGUGUGUGAAGGAGGUCUUCGGAUUGGAAAGCACGCUAAGUUGUUAGAAAGGGCAGUAAGUUAAUACCUUGCUGUUUUGACGUUACCAGCAGAAUAAGCACCGGCUAACUACGUG
RNAcentral lists this ribosomal RNA (484 nucleotides) under uncultured bacterium. RNAcentral describes it as "partial 16S ribosomal RNA". It matches the Rfam family "Bacterial small subunit ribosomal RNA", at positions 30 to 507 of the family's 1533-position model. The record is from RNAcentral.